RNAcentral lists this ribosomal RNA (1170 nucleotides) under Bacillus licheniformis. RNAcentral's name for it is "bacterial SSU rRNA". It matches the Rfam family "Bacterial small subunit ribosomal RNA", at positions 35 to 1189 of the family's 1533-position model. Lineage: Bacteria; Bacillati; Bacillota; Bacilli; Caryophanales; Bacillaceae. The record is from RNAcentral.
GUCCGGUGGCGGGUGCUAUACAUGCAGUCGAGCGGACCGACGGGAGCUUGCUCCCUUAGGUCAGCGGCGGACGGGUGAGUAACACGUGGGUAACCUGCCUGUAAGACUGGGAUAACUCCGGGAAACCGGGGCUAAUACCGGAUGCUUGAUUGAACCGCAUGGUUCAAUCAUAAAAGGUGGCUUUCAGCUACCACUUGCAGAUGGACCCGCGGCGCAUUAGCUAGUUGGUGAGGUAACGGCUCACCAAGGCGACGAUGCGUAGCCGACCUGAGAGGGUGAUCGGCCACACUGGGACUGAGACACGGCCCAGACUCCUACGGGAGGCAGCAGUAGGGAAUCUUCCGCAAUGGACGAAAGUCUGACGGAGCAACGCCGCGUGAGUGAUGAAGGUUUUCGGAUCGUAAAACUCUGUUGUUAGGGAAGAACAAGUACCGUUCGAAUAGGGCGGUACCUUGACGGUACCUAACCAGAAAGCCACGGCUAACUACGUGCCAGCAGCCGCGGUAAUACGUAGGUGGCAAGCGUUGUCCGGAAUUAUUGGGCGUAAAGCGCGCGCAGGCGGUUUCUUAAGUCUGAUGUGAAAGCCCCCGGCUCAACCGGGGAGGGUCAUUGGAAACUGGGGAACUUGAGUGCAGAAGAGGAGAGUGGAAUUCCACGUGUAGCGGUGAAAUGCGUAGAGAUGUGGAGGAACACCAGUGGCGAAGGCGACUCUCUGGUCUGUAACUGACGCUGAGGCGCGAAAGCGUGGGGAGCGAACAGGAUUAGAUACCCUGGUAGUCCACGCCGUAAACGAUGAGUGCUAAGUGUUAGAGGGUUUCCGCCCUUUAGUGCUGCAGCAAACGCAUUAAGCACUCCGCCUGGGGGAGUACGGUCGCAAGACUGAAACUCAAAGGAAUUGACGGGGGCCCGCACAAGCGGUGGAGCAUGUGGUUUAUUCGAAGCAACGCGAAGAACCUUACCAGGUCUUGACAUCCUCUGACAACCCUAGAGAUAGGGCUUCCCCUUCGGGGGCAGAGUGACAAGUGGUGCAUGGUGUCGUCAGCUCGCGCCUGAGAUGUUGGGUUAAGUCCCGCAACAGCGCAACCCUCGAUCUAGUUGCCAGCAUUCAUUUGGGCACUCUUAGAUGACUGUCGGGUUGACAACCGGAGGAAGAUGGGGGAUGACGGUCGA